This is a long non-coding RNA of Coregonus clupeaformis (lake whitefish), 135 nucleotides long. RefSeq lists it as uncharacterized. NCBI's taxonomy places the organism in Eukaryota, Metazoa, Chordata, Actinopteri, Salmoniformes, Salmonidae. The transcript has 3 exons. The record is from RefSeq and is a predicted model, not a curated record.
UGUUUUUAAUCUGAAGUGGAGGACGUGAAGACCAGUAAAGGGAAAAUGGCAGAGUCCAGAGUUCAUACUCAGUUUAAACUCACCUCAGAAGACCAUGUAAGGGCUGAUGUUGGUGAAGAUGUCACACUCCCCUGU